This 417-nucleotide ribosomal RNA is filed under the name Clostridium haemolyticum. RNAcentral's name for it is "bacterial SSU rRNA". It matches the Rfam family "Bacterial small subunit ribosomal RNA", at positions 1125 to 1533 of the family's 1533-position model. Lineage: Bacteria; Bacillati; Bacillota; Clostridia; Eubacteriales; Clostridiaceae. The record is from RNAcentral.
AUUAAGUUAAGCACUCUAACGAGACUGCCGCGGUUANCAUGGAGGAAGGUGGGGAUGACGUCAAAUCAUCAUGCCCCUUAUGUCUAGGGCUACACACGUGCUACAAUGGCUGGUACAACGAGCAGCAAACCCGCGAGGGGGAGCAAAACUUGAAAGCCAGUCCCAGUUCGGAUUGUAGGCUGAAACUCGCCUACAUGAAGUUGGAGUUGCUAGUAAUCGCGAAUCAGCAUGUCGCGGUGAAUACGUUCCCGGGUCUUGUACACACCGCCCGUCACACCAUGAGAGCCGGUAACACCCGAAGCCCGUGAGGUAACCGUAAGGAGCCAGCGGUCGAAGGUGGGAUUGGUGAUUGGGGUGAAGUCGUAACAAGGUAGCCGUAGGAGAACCUGCGGCUGGAUCACCUCCUUUCUAGGGAGA